UACAGAGGGUGCAAGCGUUAAUCGGAAUUACUGGGCGUAAAGCGUGCGUAGUCGGUUAUCUAAGUCGGGUGUGAAAUCCCAGGGCUCAACCUUGGAAUUGCAUUCGAUACUGGAUAACUAGAGUUCGGCAGAGGGAAGUGGAAUUUCCGGUGUAGCGGUGAAAUGCGUAGAUAUCGGAAGGAACAUCAGUGGCGAAAGCGACUUCCUGGACCAGUACCGACGUUCAGGCACGAAAGCGUGGGGAGCAAACAGG
This 253-nucleotide ribosomal RNA is filed under the name uncultured bacterium. RNAcentral's name for it is "partial 16S ribosomal RNA". It matches the Rfam family "Bacterial small subunit ribosomal RNA", at positions 524 to 776 of the family's 1533-position model. The record is from RNAcentral.